UCUCCUGGAAACGGGUGGUAAUGCCGGAUGCUCCAGUUGAUCGCAUGGUCUUCUGGGANAGCUUUCGCGGUAUGGGAUGGGGUCGCGUCCUAUCAGCUUGACGGCGGGGUAACGGCCCACCGUGGCUUCGACGGGUAGCCGGCCUGAGAGGGCGACCGGCCACAUUGGGACUGAGAUACGGCCCAGACUCCUACGGGAGGCAGCAGUGGGGAAUAUUGCACAAUGGGCGCAAGCCUGAUGCAGCGACGCCGCGUGAGGGAUGGAGGCCUUCGGGUUGUAAACCUCUUUUAUCGGGGAGCAAGCGAGAGUGAGUUUACCCGUUGAAUAAGCACCGGCUAACUACGUGCCAGCAGCCGCGGUAAUACGUAGGGUGCAAGCGUUAUCCGGAAUUAUUGGGCGUAAAGGGCUCGUAGGCGGUUCGUCGCGUCCGGUGUGAAAGUCCAUCGCUUAACGGUGGAUCCGCGCCGGGUACGGGCGGGCUUGAGUGCGGUAGGGGAGACUGGAAUUCCCGGUGUAACGGUGGAAUGUGUAGAUAUC
This 537-nucleotide ribosomal RNA is filed under the name Bifidobacterium longum subsp. infantis. Its description in RNAcentral is "bacterial SSU rRNA". It matches the Rfam family "Bacterial small subunit ribosomal RNA", at positions 146 to 698 of the family's 1533-position model. The record is from RNAcentral. Lineage: Bacteria; Bacillati; Actinomycetota; Actinomycetes; Bifidobacteriales; Bifidobacteriaceae.